GGGGUUGUAAUUUAAUGGUAAAUAUUUGCUUUGCAAGCAAGCUAUAGCAGUUCGAUUCUGCUCAACUCCA
This 70-nucleotide transfer RNA is filed under the name Ulva pertusa. RNAcentral describes it as "tRNA-Ala". It matches the Rfam family "tRNA". From Rfam's summary of the family: Transfer RNA (tRNA) molecules are approximately 80 nucleotides in length. Their secondary structure includes four short double-helical elements and three loops (D, anti-codon, and T loops). Lineage: Eukaryota; Viridiplantae; Chlorophyta; Ulvophyceae; Ulvales; Ulvaceae. The record is from RNAcentral.